This 254-nucleotide ribosomal RNA is filed under the name uncultured bacterium. Its description in RNAcentral is "partial 16S ribosomal RNA". It matches the Rfam family "Bacterial small subunit ribosomal RNA", at positions 524 to 776 of the family's 1533-position model. The record is from RNAcentral.
GACGUAGGGCGCGAGCGUUGUCCGGAUUUAUUGGGCGUAAAGAGCUCGUAGGCGGCUUGUCGCGUCGGCUGUGAAAACCCGUGGCUCAACCAUGUGGUCUGCAGUCGAUACGGGCAGGCUAGAAUUCGGUAGGGGAGACUGGAAUUUCUGGUGUAGCGGUGAAAUGCGCAGAUAUCAGGAGGAACACCGGUGGCGAAGGCGGGUCUCUGGGCCGAUAUUGACGCUGAGGAGCGAAAGCGUGGGGAGCGAACAGG